Molecule: ribosomal RNA, 407 nt
Filed under: uncultured bacterium
Lineage: Bacteria
Description: partial 16S ribosomal RNA
Rfam family: Bacterial small subunit ribosomal RNA
Source: RNAcentral
AUUGAACGCUGGCGGCAGGCCUAACACAUGCAAGUCGAGCGGAGCGGCGGACGGGUGAGUAAUGCCUAGGAAUCUGCCUGGUAGUGGGGGAUAACGUCCGGAAACGGGCGCUAAUAUCGCAUACUAUCAGAUGAGCCUAGGUCGGAUUGGCUAGUUGGUGGGGUAAAGGCCUAACAAGGCGACGAUCCGUAACUGGUCUGGGAGGAGGAUCAGUCACACCGGAACUGAGACAAGGUCCAGACUCGUACGGGAGGCAGCGGUGGGGAAUAUGGGACAAUGGGCGAAAGCCUGAUCCAGCCCUGCCGCGUGUGGGAAGAAGGUAUUCGGAUUGUAAAGCACUUUAAGUUGGGAGGCGUUACCAACAGAAUAAGCACCGGCUAACUUCGUGCCAGCAGCCGCGGUAAUUC